CCUCCCUCGCCCCCCUCCACGCCGUCACCCCCCCGCCCCUCUGACCCCGCGGCUGUCCCCGCAGACGAGGAGCCGGAGAAGGGCAGCGAGAGCGAGCCGGAGGCCAGUGAGGAGGAGGAGGAGGAGGAAGGGCGCUCCGGCAGCGAGAGCGAGCGGGAGGCCAGCGGGCGCAGCGCCAGCGAGGGCUCGCCGGAGGCCAGCGAGGAGGACGAACGGGCGGCCCGCGACAAGGAGGAGAUCUUUGGCAGCGACGACGAGGACUCGGAGGGCGAGGGGGGCGGGCAGCGGCGCAGCCCCGGGGAGGAGGAGAGCGGCAGCGAGGAGGGGGUCCGGCGGCGCCGGGCCGGCCGCAGCCCCUUCCUCAGCGGCAGCGAGGGCUCCAACGCCGAGGAGGAGGACGAGGACGAGCGCAGUGGGAGCGGCAGCGAGGCCGCCUCGGACUCCAGCGAGGAGGGGAGCGAAAGCGACUGAGUGGGCUCUGCUGGGGUGGGGGCAGCCCCUUGCCCCCCCGCCGCCUGGGCCGGAUCCACCCACCCCCUUGGGGGACCAUUGCUCCACCCUGCUGCCACCAGGAGGAUUUGGGCAUGAUGUGGGGGAUCCCUUGUGCAGGGAGUUGCUGGAAUCCUCCCCCAACUUGGGAGGAAGUGGCUCUGUCUGGCACCCCUGUGCUUGGUCAGGGACCUGCUGGGAGUGCCCCUCCCACCCCAGGGGAUCCCCUCUGGCGCCCCCCGCAGACACUGGGGUGUUUUUAUUUUUUCUGCUGUUUGUUUUGCCCCUUGUACAUACCAGCCUGUACCAGAACCCCCUUUCCGUCCUCAAUAAAAGGGUCUCUGCCUAAAACCGGGCGUCUCUCCUCACCCCUGUGCUCGGUGCCAGCCCUGCCAGGGAUCUCCACCCUCUUGGUGCCAGGGGCAGCCAGCUGGCAUCACUGCCUCGCUCUGGCUGCGAGCAGGGGGUCUGGCAUCCACCGUCCAGCCCUCUCCUAUGCAGGGCCUGUUUCUCUCUAGAGCGGGCGGUGGGUGCAGAGCCCCCACUCCCAGGGCCUGGGCCGGGAAGGUGCGUUGGAGGAGUGGGGGGACAGGUAUCUGGGGGAGAAAGGGCUUGUUUAUCCCCCUGUUCCCUGAACUCUGCGCUUUCCCCGCCAGGGGCUGGGCUCGAAGCUGCUAUUGAAGUGUGGGGGAGGCAGGCUGGGUUCCCCACUCUCUGCGUUCACAGGGCGCCAGGGCCGGGAUUCACCAGCCCUUUCGCUGUUGGCAGUGUGAGCGGGAGAUCAGACCCUGCUU
Molecule: long non-coding RNA, 1283 nt
Filed under: Gopherus agassizii (Agassiz's desert tortoise)
Lineage: Eukaryota; Metazoa; Chordata; Testudines; Testudinidae
Description: lncRNA (ENSGAGG00000016265.1)
Source: RNAcentral